GGGCCUGUAGCUCAGGGGUAGAGCGCUCGCUUUGCAUGCAUGUUGAAAAUGCGAGAGGCCUAGGGUUCAAAUCCCUACCGGUCCA
This 85-nucleotide transfer RNA is filed under the name Nemania serpens. RNAcentral describes it as "tRNA-Ala". It matches the Rfam family "tRNA". Rfam says of the family: Transfer RNA (tRNA) molecules are approximately 80 nucleotides in length. Their secondary structure includes four short double-helical elements and three loops (D, anti-codon, and T loops). Lineage: Eukaryota; Fungi; Ascomycota; Sordariomycetes; Xylariales; Xylariaceae. The record is from RNAcentral.